UACGGAGGGUGCGAGCGUUGUCCGGAAUCACUGGGCGUAAAGGGCGCGUAGGCGGCAUGACAAGUCACUUGUGAAAUCUCUGGGCUUAACCCAGAACGGCCAAGUGAUACUGUCGCGCUAGAGUGCAGAAGGGGCAAUCGGAAUUCUCGGUGUAGCGGUGAAAUGCGUAGAUAUCGAGAGGAACACCAGAGGUGAAGACGGGUUGCUGGGCUGACACUGACGCUGAGGCGCGAAAGCCAGGGGAGCAAACGGG
This 253-nucleotide ribosomal RNA is filed under the name uncultured bacterium. RNAcentral's name for it is "partial 16S ribosomal RNA". It matches the Rfam family "Bacterial small subunit ribosomal RNA", at positions 524 to 776 of the family's 1533-position model. The record is from RNAcentral.